RNAcentral lists this ribosomal RNA (553 nucleotides) under uncultured bacterium. RNAcentral describes it as "bacterial SSU rRNA". It matches the Rfam family "Bacterial small subunit ribosomal RNA", at positions 353 to 899 of the family's 1533-position model. The record is from RNAcentral.
AGUGGGGAAUUUUGGACAAUGGGCGCAAGCCUGAUCCAGCCAUUCCGCGUGCAGGACGAAGGCCUUCGGGUUGUAAACUGCUUUUGUACGGAACGAAAGGGCUCUCUCUAAUACAGGGGGCAUAUGACGGUACCGUAAGAAUAAGCACCGGCUAACUACGUGCCAGCAGCCGCGGUAAUACGUAGGGUGCAAGCGUUAAUCGGAAUUACUGGGCGUAAAGCGUGCGCAGGCGGUUUUGUAAGACAGAGGUGAAAUCCCCGGGCUCAACCUGGGAACUGCCUUUGUGACUGCAAGGCUGGAGUGCGGCAGAGGGGGAUGGAAUUCCGCGUGUAGCAGUGAAAUGCGUAGAUAUGCGGAGGAACACCGAUGGCGAAGGCAAUCCCCUGGGCCUGCACUGACGCUCAUGCACGAAAGCGUGGGGAGCAAACAGGAUUAGAUACCCUGGUAGUCCACGCCCUAAACGAUGUCAACUGGUUGUUGGGAAUUCAUUUUCUCAGUAACGAAGCUCACGCGUGAAGUUGACCGCCUGGGGAGUACGGCCGCAAGGUUAAAA